AUGUCGUCUGACGACGAAAAAGAUUUCAUUAAGUGCGAAUACUGUGAAGACCAGCGCGGCCUGUGCGACAGAAAUUUCCUAGUUGAUGAUAGGCGCUUCAGCAUCAAGCAGACCUUCGAAGUGGAUACACGCAUCCCCUGCCAUGCAAGAAUUUUUGUCUUGGAUAAGAUAGGUUUCAGUGCUAUGGAAACUAUGGAGGUAAAGAUAGUUUACCUGAAGACGGAGCAUGGUUAUACUUUCAACGUCAAAUUAUACAAUGCAGACACGUACACCUAUUUUGAAUGCAAAACUUGGCAAGCACUAUGCAAGGCUUAUGCAUUUGAGCCUGGUAUGGUUAUCACCUUUGAUAUUCGUCCGGAAGAUGAUAUUGAAGCUUAUUUCCAUUCAAGCAAACAUGUCCGGUGCUUGGUAGAUAGGACCUACUACUGUCCCAGAGCUGAACUAAACUGCGAGGAGAUAAGUCAUUAUGUUUCAUGGCUUGAGGAUCUUCAUACUGUCAAGACAAAUUUUCUUCCUGCACUUGGAAAUGUUAGUACUCAAAACGUGCGACCAAUAGUGAUCGUAUUGAACUACGGUCACAUCUAUGAAAGAUGGGACUCCCGAUGA
This 606-nucleotide ribosomal RNA is filed under the name Triticum aestivum (bread wheat). RNAcentral describes it as "partial small subunit ribosomal RNA". The record is from RNAcentral. Lineage: Eukaryota; Viridiplantae; Streptophyta; Magnoliopsida; Poales; Poaceae.